RNAcentral lists this ribosomal RNA (253 nucleotides) under uncultured bacterium. RNAcentral's name for it is "partial 16S ribosomal RNA". It matches the Rfam family "Bacterial small subunit ribosomal RNA", at positions 524 to 776 of the family's 1533-position model. The record is from RNAcentral.
UACGUAGGGUGCGAGCGUUGUCCGGAAUUAUUGGGCGUAAAGGGCUCGUAGGCGGUCUGUCGCGUCUGCUGUGAAAACUCGGGGCUUAACCCCGGGCCUGCAGUGGGUACGGGCAGACUAGAGUGCGGUAGGGGAGACUGGAAUUCCUGGUGUAGCGGUGAAAUGCGCAGAUAUCAGGAGGAACACCGGUGGCGAAGGCGGUUCUCUGGGCCUUACCUGACGCUGAGGAGCGAAAGCGUGGGGAGCGAACAGG